AUUUAAGCUAUCAUCUUUUUUCAAAACACCUUGUGCGUGCCUCCUGGCAGUUGGUGAACUUUCUGAUGUAUUCAACAGCAUUGAUCUCCACUUUGUCUCUGCAUGUUCUCCUUUUAUUUUAAUUUUUACCAUUUUUUUUCCCACAUGAAAGGUCUUGCAGUCACUUAGAAAUGCUGAGAUAAAUUGACUGGUAUAAAGUAAGGUAUCUGAUUAAUGAAAUUUACUCUAAAACUAAUUGGCCUUUUCAUGGACUAUAAGACUAUGCACAACCACUUCGUACUCAAACAUGCAAUUCUCUUUCCAAUGUUGUAUGACCCAGUACCCAGCUCUUCAAAGCACAUUUUUUUUUCUUGGUAGAUCUCAGGUCUUCCUUCUGUUGCUGAUGGCCUAGACAACUAUAGGGCCAUCUGAAAGUCCUUGCAGUAUUUGGUUGUCAUGAAGCAAUGGCUGUGUGUUGUGCUGCUGGUGGUGCCCUGGGCUGGAGGAUUUUUGCACACAGUAAUUCAACUUGGCCUUAUUCAUGGGCUCCCAUCUUAUGACCCCAAUGUCAUUGGUCGUUUUGUCUGUGACAUGGACCCCUUAAUGAAGCUUGUCUGUGACUAUACACUCAACAGAUUUGUCUAUUUUGCAGGUCAUGACUUAAAUACUAGGUUUUAUAUAUUUCGUUUAUAUUCAGACUGGACUGUUUCCUUUUGGUGAUUUGACUUUGGUAUCCUUUUGUAAUUUUUUCCCUAGAGGACAUGAUUCUAUAAAUCUUGUUAUACAUAGUUAUUAUCCCUGUGGCAUCUCCGGAGAUACAGAGCCUACCCUCAGAAUUAUGAUAAAGGUCCCAAUGAAUUUAAUUAGAGAAGAAUCACCUUUGGAGAUGCAC
This 871-nucleotide long non-coding RNA is filed under the name Homo sapiens (human). RNAcentral describes it as "non-protein coding lnc-OR4A5-2:1". The record is from RNAcentral. Lineage: Eukaryota; Metazoa; Chordata; Mammalia; Primates; Hominidae.